CCUACGGGAGGCAGCAGUGGGGAAUAUUGCACAAUGGGGGGAACCCUGAUGCAGCAACGCCGCGUGGGUGAAGAAGUACUUCGGUAUGUAAAGCCCUGUCAGCAGGGAAGAAAAUGACGGUACCUGACCAAGAAGCCCCGGCUAACUACGUGCCAGCAGCCGCGGUGAUACGUAGGGGGCAAGCGUUAUCCGGAUUUACUGGGUGUAAAGGGAGCGUAGACGGCAAGGCAAGGCUGGAGUGAAAGCCCGUGGCUCAACCACGGGACUGCUUUGGACACUGUGUUGCUGGAGUGCAGGAGGGGUAAGCGGAAUGCCUGGUGUAGCGGUGAAAUGCGUAGAUAUUAGGAGGAACACCGGUGGCGAAGGCGGCUUACUGGACUGUAACUGACGUUGAGGCUCGAAGGCGUGGGGAGCAAACAGGAUUAGAUACCCGGGUAGUC
Molecule: ribosomal RNA, 440 nt
Filed under: uncultured bacterium
Lineage: Bacteria
Description: partial 16S ribosomal RNA
Rfam family: Bacterial small subunit ribosomal RNA
Source: RNAcentral